RNAcentral lists this long non-coding RNA (4667 nucleotides) under Sus scrofa (pig). Its description in RNAcentral is "lncRNA (ENSSSCG00000058296.1)". The record is from RNAcentral. Lineage: Eukaryota; Metazoa; Chordata; Mammalia; Artiodactyla; Suidae.
GGUCGUGGAAGAGUCGCGCCCGCCCCACGAGGGGCAGUGUCAGCUUUGCCAUAUUUGUUGCUUGACAGCUCUGGGCAGUGCGGCAGCCUGAGCCUGCCCAGGGCUUGUCCAAACUCCCAAAGGUCAGAGCUUGGCGCUCUGGGCUUCCCACUCCAGUGAGAAGCUGGGACGAGCUACCCAGCCAGGGCAGGUGGGCUCUCGGGGGACCUUGUGCUGAGCUGUGUGAAGCCCAGCAGUGGGGCUUCCCAGGAGCUGCACAAAAUACACAGCUUUUUUAGGCAGAAGGGGUGGGUGGGGCAUUAGUUAUAUGGAGCCGGGAAGCAGGCUGGCCAUCACUGGGCCAUGUCCCCUGGAGGAUGGCGGCGUCCCCCAGGUGCCCAGUGCUGCAUCAGGUCCAUCUCUGAGAGGGCGGGCCCGUCUCCUUUCGGUGAUGUCUUAGCCUGGGUGACUGCACUUGGGGCCUGCUGUUGUGUUUUUAACGUUAUUCAUAUGGCUGAUCUGAACCAGAAAGAGGUUUACAAAUAGAAAUGGCUGUUCCUUGAACAUUUUGUUUAGAUAUAGGGAUACCGUAUACACGUAAACACACACACACACCCGUCAGCGUUUGCCACGUCCUUUCUUCCAAAGAGGACAUGGUGGCUUCAUGGAAUCUAGGAAUAUGAGGAGGAGCUGAGUGUGAACCUGGCAUCCUCUGCUCACCUUCCGGAUGGAAGUGGGAAGCCGGCUUCAAAUCAACUAUGAGGACCGCGGACUGAGCCUCCAGAUCGCAUCUGCCCAGUACAGUUCCUGCCGGUGCAGCCCCCAAGGGCUCACCUAAGGACACCCAAGAGUCCCUGCUGCCUCCCCUACAGCCUGAGGGCCCUUGAGCUCAGAGCACCUCGAACUGAGUCUUGGACUUUGUCCCUGGGCAGCCACACCUUCAAGCUGACACGGGCCCUGGGGUGUUCCAACUCCCUGCAGAAAUUGAUUCUUUGGACGGAUUCUCAGUGUACACAGCCUACCUGGCGGGCUCCAGGCUAGCUGGACACUGCGCUCAGGGGUCUGACUGGCCAGUGGGGACGGCCAGUGGCCCCACACUGCCUGUGCUGCGUGACAGAGGGCAGAGGAGGGAGAGCCCGUGCCUCCUGGGGGCCGGGGUGGAGGAAGGUCAGGCGCCCAGAGGACGGAAAAUGUCAGACAGACACAGAAAUGCCCGAGUCCAGGGAGGGGCGUCGGCACGGCCAGGCAGCUGUAGGGGUUGGGAGGGUGUCGGAGAGGCAGGCGGGUUCCCACGCCUCCCACACAGCUAGGCCUCCCCCACUGCAUGGGGCGAGGAGGGAGGUGACGCGGCUCAGACCUGGCCGUGUCUCUGCUGGUCCUUGUCACCACCAGACAGGGAAGCACAGAAAACCGUGCAGUGUCUGAGCACGUGGCCCGGCCACACACGUGGAGCUCCAAGGGGGAGAGUCUUGAGGCCCUGAGGUGGACGCUCCAGCCAUGUGACUGCUGUUGAGGCUCGUUCACACAUGCGCUCACGUGUGCGCCCCACACAUGUGCGCUCACAUGCGUUUGCUGUGCCUCCGCCGAGCCUCUCUUCCAGGGAAUUCGAGCACAGCCUGGUGACACCUCUGGACUCCCCUGCGACGUGUGUGCUGGCCUCUGCCUUCGCCUUCGGUGUCCCAAGCUCCUGUGACCUCUGAACGUAGAGCUGGGGGUUUGAAUUAAUUUUAUUGAAGUGUAGUGGGUUUACUCGGUUGUGUGAACUUCUGCUGCAUUGCAAAACGACACUUCCAUCCCCACAGACGUCACCACAGAACACUGGCCCCAUGUGCCUGUGCCGCACGGCAGCUCCCGCUGACCGCCCAUCCCCACACACUGAGAGACGCUCAGGCCGCAAUCCAUGUCUAUGCAGCUGGAAUCUCUGGACGUCAGUCCCCAUGGUACCCGGGGGAUGCUCAGCCUGGUGACUCUGUGCUCAAGCCUUGGGGUCCUCUGCGCAGCCACCACGAGGGCCUUCCCGAGGCAGGAGCCUGCACUGCCCACGCACUGUGCUCCUCCUCCCGGGACUGUGGGCCUGGCCCUGACCGUGACCGGCAGGAAGGUCCACCAGGCCACCUUCCCGAGCCCCUGGUCCCCAAGGCUCUUCGUCGACUUGCCCGUUUUAGAGCAUGUGCAGCCCUGGCCCACAGGGCAGAUGCACUGAGGUGGGGGCCGCAGGGGUCUAAGGAAAUUCAAGUCACAGAGGUAUGGCACCAGCCGUGUGUGCUCAGACAUGCGCGUGAAUGCUUGAGCACACACGCGCACACGUAUCCACGCACACUGUCUUGAGCUUUACUUCAGAAACGGAGAAAACCCCUAGGCCACCACUUGCCAAGAUGUGUCACAUUUUUUUGUCUUCAGAGAUAAAAGCCACUCGGCCUGUCUCAGUUUUCACUACUCAAGCCUGUGGAUUGUUAAAUCUCUAGGAGAUUCAGGCCAGCUUGCCAGCAUCUAGUUUUAAAAACUUAUUCAAAUGCCUCAAUUGAGCCUCUUCUAACAAGGCCAACGCCGGCUGCAGUUAGAAUUUGCGAGUUCAGGAGAAUAGCCAAGACCUGGAGACAGCGUGAGUGUCCACUGACAGAGAGGUAGAUAAAGAUGUGGUUCAUACACACAGUGGAGUAUUACUCAGCCAUAAAAAAGAAUGAAGUAAUGCCAUUUGCAGCAACAUGGGUGGACCUAGUGAUUGUCAUACCAAGGGAAGUUAGACAAAUAUAUGAUGUCACUUACAUGUGGAAUUUUAAAAAAUUAUAUAAAUGAACUUAUAUACAAAGCGAAUUCAGACUCACAGACAUAGAAAGCAAACUUAUGGUCACCAGAGGGGACAGGCGCAGGGAGGGAUGGCCUGGGGGCUGGGGACCGGCAGGCGCACACUGAGCUCUGUGGAAUGGAUGGUCAGCAGGGACCUGCCGUGUAGCACAGGGAGCUCUGCCCAGUAUCCUGUGCUGGUCCAUGUGGGAAAAGAAUCUGAAAGAGAAUGGGUGUGUGUUUAGGUCUAACUGAAUCCCCUGGUUGGACAGCAGAAACUAUCACAACACUGUAAAUCCACUAUCAUUCAAUAAGACUUCAAAAGUUAAAAAAACAGGGCCGAGACGGCCUCCAGGAAGCUGAGGCCAAGGGCAGGCACAGGGAUACCAGAGCCCUCAGGACCCCCUCAUGGGUGGGGGGCGGCUGUGGGAAUUGCAAGAUGGGGGUCCUGUGUGGGGAGCUGGGGCCCAGGGCUGGGAAGUGAGAACCCGGGAGCCCCUGCCUCGGCAAUUGAUGAGGCCAGAUGCGUGGAGCCACCCCCAGAGCAGAGGCCCCCUCGACCUGGAGCAGAGGGCCGGCGGGAGGGAGGGAAGGGCAGGCAGGUGAUGGGAGGAGGCUGGGCGGCCGCCUGUGUGCGGUUCCUGCCGGUAGGCUUGGAGCAGCGCUGAGCCCUCCUCUCAUGGGACUGUUCCCAACGCCACUCAGAGAGGCUGCCUCAGGGCCAGCGGCGUCUGAAGGCGUGAGAGCCGAAGACCAUGUGCUUCGGCAGACGCGGCCUGCCGGCCUUUCCCCACGGUGGCCUCGGGGAGCAGGCGGGACCGUCUCAUGACCCUCGCCCUCCCCCGCAGUUAGCACGGUCCUUAGGAAGCCCUGGAGGGGACCCUGGAUGGAGGGACCCCGCCCGUCCUACAGCAGCGCCCUGGCUGUGUUCAGAGAGACCCCACGGGGCUGAGACCCACUGACGCGGGUGUUGUAUGUUCACACGGAGAUGGCUGUGUCUGAUCUCGGUCGUGCCAGACCCAUCUUUCCACACGACAGUGUUCACUAAGUGACAUAAGUCACCCAUGAUGUGUUUGUCCCCUUUUAACUGUCAGUGGGUACGGCCCAGGGCAGCUGUCGCCAGUGGGCUGAGGCAGAACCACUUUCCCACCACAUGCUACCCGAGGUGCCGCAGGGCUCCGGGGCAGAGAACCGCUGCGGGGUUCCUUGGGUGCGGGUGGAUGUGCAUGCGAGCUCAGAGGGCUCGGGGUGGUGGCCACAGAGCCCUCGGCAGCACGUCUGGACAUGUUUCAUGCUUGGCUCCAGCAGCUCAUAAGAUCCAGGCCGACCCACAGCGGGGUUUCCAUCAAACCAGCCCCCACUUCUUUAAAGCCCUGGGACCUGCCGUCAUUUGUAGAAUCAGAAACUUCACGGCCACCUCCUGCUUAAAGGGACUGAACUGGACUGGCUGCUUUUGCUGAGUCAGCCUGUUGAAUUUCCAUGCGGUAGAUUUUCUUAUUACCACUGGAAUGUCGUAAGAGACCACAGCCACUGACCCUCUGGGACACGGGGAAGGACAGGGCUCCGUGAGAGCAGCUGCCUGCUGAUGUGGCCCUAGGGUGGCGGGUCAGGGGACCUGCCGUCGGCUGUGUGCUCUGCACAUCUGCUUUGGGGUCUGGUGGGAGGGAGAGUGACAGUGAGGCCUUAACGCGGAGCUUUUCCAGGCGGCUGGAGCCCCUCGUUCUCACCAGAAUCGCUCCUGCUGGAACAGAGAAAACCACUAGGAAGACAGCUUUGUGACUCCCAAAGUCGCUCCUUAGCACGCCUCCGCUGCCACCUGUGUGGGGUCCCCUGAUGGCACCCAGCGGUGGGAGCGUCCCUUCACCGUCACAUGGCCCACAUCCUGGGGUGUCUUCCUUCCUCUG